This 1801-nucleotide long non-coding RNA is filed under the name Marmota monax (woodchuck). Lineage: Eukaryota; Metazoa; Chordata; Mammalia; Rodentia; Sciuridae. The record is from RNAcentral.
CUGAAUCUGGAGCCUGUGCUCUCAGUCAUCAUGCUGCAGACUGGAAAGUCUGGUCAUUUUUCAGAUGCAGUGUCACCAUCCCAUCUUGACCGCAAUUUAGCCAGGAUGCCUUCAUCACACAGCAGCUGUGAGGUGAAGAGAGCAGUGGAAAUUAGAGAUGAGCUCCGAUCUCAAAACUCUGACCAUUAAGUAGGCAGGACCUACUCAGAGAUGCUUGGAAACAUUCUGAAAAUUUAUAAUGGGACCUGUGAUGAGCACAUGGACAAAGCCUAGGGCUGGCUUUACUGGCUAGAACCCUGUAGGCCAUGGUGCUCAGUUCCUUGUGUAAAUUUCUCCAAGACUGUUCUGGUUUGGGUCACUAGUAAAUAUAAUGAAACACUAUUCCCUGCCUCACCUAACCCAGUGAUGAGCCAUGUAAUCUGGCACUGCUUCUGCUCUGCUCUGGCCAUUCCUGUGCAUUUAUAAAGUACAGGUGACUCCCCAACUCCCCCCAGAAUCAGGACUUUUCACUUUCAGAAUUCCAUCAUGUAAAACCCAAAACACAACCUCACACAGCCUUUGUCUUGCAUAUAACAGGUUCAAGAAAACUCAGAAUUGCAUCUGUCUCCCCUGGUCCAAGCCACCAGCAUCUCUUACCCAGGACACUGCAGAAGCCAUUUCCACUUUUUCUAGGUUAACUGUUUUUCUACUCUCAGCAGCUGGUAUGAUCUUUUAAAACUUCAAAGCAUUAUACUUUCUCUUGUACAAAACUCCCCAAAUGAGACUCAUCAGACCCAGACUGAUCUCCAGCCUCCUAAUCCUAGCAUUUCCUGACCUGAUUCUCGUUAAUUUCUCUGACUGUAUCUCCUGCCAGGCACAUGGCAUUUCAGGCCCUUCCAGCCUCAGGACCUCUGCACUGGCUAUGUUCCUGACCUGGCAGUAUCUUUGCCUGGGUCUUCAUGUAGCUGAUUUUUUCUUGUCGUCUCUUUCACCAAUUACAUAGCACUUCUUCAGACAGACUUCUGUGAAAAUAUAAGUAGAUCCACCUCUGAUAAAUCCCAUAUGAUUAGCUUUAUUGUAUAUUUAGCAUGUAGCUCUGUGUAAGGUCUUCUCAUUUGUUGACUAAUUAUGGGGUGUCUUAUAAGGCUGUGUGUUCCUGAGAACAGAAAAACACCUGUCCCAUUCACUGUUUUGUCCUCAGUAUCUGAAACAAUACCCAGCAAUGGUAGAUGCCCAGGACAUUAGUUAAGUGAAAGAAUGAACUUUCCCAAAGCUCUUGCAUACCAGAAUCUGCUAGUUUAAAAUGCAGCCAUAGUGUUUCAUUAGAAAUGUUUGGUUGUGGUUGAGGAGUACACUUAAGAAGUAAAAUUGGCACUUAAAGCAUGAAAUGUUGGCCUUAGUGUGCAGUGAAGUGGUGACUGUGCUGAGUCAAUGUCAAUGGGGGGAAGCCCAAGGUCACCUGUCCACAAGAAUUUCCUCAACUACACCUUUGAGGAGGAUGACUUGUGUGACAUCCAUGGAAACCAGGGUUUGUGUCCACUGUAGAUCAGAGGGAGGGCAAACCAGCCUUCAGAAAACACAGACCAAACUCUGCCCACUGACAAUACUGAUGCAUUCUAGAAAGCACUUACUGGACUCACAAUGGACAUGUUUGAAUCCUGGGAGAAGCCAACAAAAUUGAGACAUGUUGGAAAUCCAUGAGGAGUCUUACCAGAGCAUAGUGGCUGGCUUAUGAGGAAAGACAUAAUGGGGAACAUAGGACAGUAAAAUGUGUUUGAAAAUGUUUUCUUUUAAAAGUUUGAAUUGACUUGUGUGUUGCUUA